RNAcentral lists this transfer RNA (67 nucleotides) under bovine gut metagenome. It matches the Rfam family "tRNA", at positions 5 to 66 of the family's 71-position model. From Rfam's summary of the family: Transfer RNA (tRNA) molecules are approximately 80 nucleotides in length. Their secondary structure includes four short double-helical elements and three loops (D, anti-codon, and T loops). The record is from RNAcentral.
GGCGUAGUUCAGUCUGGUUAGAAUGUCAGAUUGUGGCUCUGAAGGUCGUGGGUUCGAAUCCCGUCGC